GAUGAACACUGGCGAGAUGCCUUACACAUGCAAGUCAUACGAGAAUUUUUAAUUCAAGUGGCGGACGGGUGAGUAACACGUAAGAAUUUGCCUUUAGGAGGGGGACAACAACUGGAAACGGUUGCUAAUACCCCAUAUGCUUUCGAGUGAAAUGGAUUUUUCCGCCUAGAGAGAAGCUUGCGGCUGAUUAGCUUGUUGGUAAGGUAAUGGCUUACCAAGGCGACGAUCAGUAUCUGGUUUGAGAGGAUGAUCAGACACACUGGAACUGAGACACGGUCCAGACUCCUACGGGAGGCAGCAGUGGGGAAUUUUCCGCAAUGGGCGAAAGCCUGACGGAGCAAUCUCGCGUGAGGGAUGACGGCCUAUGGGUUGUAAACCUCUUUUUUCAGGGAGGAACAAAAUGACGUGUACCUGAAGAAUAAGCAUCGGCUAACUCCGUGCCAGCAGCCGCCGUAAGAC
This 459-nucleotide ribosomal RNA is filed under the name uncultured bacterium. RNAcentral's name for it is "bacterial SSU rRNA". It matches the Rfam family "Bacterial small subunit ribosomal RNA", at positions 28 to 526 of the family's 1533-position model. The record is from RNAcentral.